This 508-nucleotide ribosomal RNA is filed under the name Hyperomyzus carduellinus. RNAcentral describes it as "partial 16S ribosomal RNA". The record is from RNAcentral. Lineage: Eukaryota; Metazoa; Arthropoda; Insecta; Hemiptera; Aphididae.
AUUAAGUUUAAUUUAAUAUAGGAUCUGCUCAAUGAUUUAUUAAAUAGCUGCAGUAUUUUGACUGUGCAAAGGUAGCAUAAUAAUUAGUCUUUUAAUUGAGGACUUGUAUGAAAGAUUUGAUGAGAAAUAAACUUUAUUAUCUAUAUAAUUAAAAUUUUAUUUUUAAGUAAAAAAGCUUAAAUUAAUUAAAGGGACGAUAAGACCCUAUAAAACUUUAUAAAUAUUAAUUUUAAUUUUUUUGGAUUAAAUAUAUAUAUUAAUUUUAUUAUUUAUUUUAUUGGGGUGAUAAAAAAAAUUAUUAAACUUUUUUUAAAAUUUUACAUUAUUUAAUGGUUAUUUGAAUUAAAAUUUUUAAUUAAAAGAAAAAGUUACUUUAGGGAUAACAGCGUAAUUAAUUUUUUAAGUUCAAAUUUAAAAAUUAGUUUGCGACCUCGAUGUUGAAUUAAGAUUAAUCUUAGGUGCAAAAUUUUAAGUAUUAGGUCUGUUCGACCUUUAAAUUCUUACGUGA